GAAGAUUGCAGGACUCCCUGCCCACAACUAUGCUGGGCCCCAGGAUCGCCUUUCCUUCCAGAUUUCUAUGCAGAUGCUUCAGCCUUCCAAUGCAGACUCUUCAGCUUUCUGUCAUGGAUUUGUUCUAAAUUCUGCAGUGACCUCCAGGCCUUUGACCUUUUACUGGAUCCUCUAGCUCUCCAGCUUGAAGGGCUUCACAGAAUUUGCUCUGAGUCUCAGAGGAAACUUUGGACUUGGACUUUUCAGCAUUCCUGGAACUGUUAAGACUGUGACAACUCUUAAAGAUGGACUAAAUGCAUUUCCAGAGGUGGGGCAUGGUUGGAAGGGAUGAUCCACUAGGGGCAUGCCUGGGAAGAGUGUAUUCUAGUCCAUAGCUCUUCACUUCUCUCUCUGCUUCCUAUUCCAAGGGCUUAGAGAUCACCUCCCAGGAGCCAGUAGCAAAGACUAGACCAUUCUUUGAGUAAGAUUAAUUCUUUUCCUUUCCCCUUCUUUCUCUCUCUCCCUCCCUGUAUAUCUGUCUCUGUUUUGCCCUGUCUCUCUAUCUCUGUCGUUGACUCUCUGUCUCUAUCUCUGUCUCUGUCUGUCUCUUUCUCUCUCUCUUGUUCUCUGUUUCACAGUGCUAGGGAUAGUAUCUAGGGCCUCGCUCAUGGUAGGCAAGCACUCUACUACUCAGUUAUACUCCCCAGCUCACUAAGGUUAAGUUACCUAAAAUGAUACAAAAUAUGUAAAAGUUCUUUUUAAAAGACCAUCACAGAGCUAACAAAAUAGCAGAAUUAUUAGGCAAAAAUUACAUGAACAUGGAGUCAUAGAGGUACAGUAUGUAAAGAAAGACAUAAAGCUUGAAGGCAAGUGCCAAUCCUAGGGGGCUUGUUCAGCUAGCCUCAGAGGGAUGGGGACCAAGACGAAGUCCGGGGUCCACCUAAGAUGGAACAUCUAGUAGGAGACCUUUCUGCACGUAAUUCUGGGACCUCUAAGUGUAAGGGUAAGCCAGAAAAAGUUACUUUUCACCACCAUCUCAUGCAGGGAUUUUUACUUUAGCACUAAACAGUGAUGGAAGGGGGCACAACAAUCUCUGAGAUGUAACAGUGAGCUUAUGUUGACACAGAUUUGCAGCCCAGUCACUCAGAUUUUCAGUCCAAUAGAACCUCAGACUUUUCUUUAUGAUGAUAGUUUCCUAAAUGCAGAGACAUUUGGCUACAUCUACAUAGACAUUUCUGUUUUUAAAAAAUUAAACCUUGUUUCUUUGGCAAUAUUCACAAAAG
Molecule: long non-coding RNA, 1262 nt
Organism: Heterocephalus glaber (naked mole-rat)
Lineage: Eukaryota; Metazoa; Chordata; Mammalia; Rodentia; Bathyergidae
Source: Ensembl